Lathyrus oleraceus (garden pea) is the source of this 2600-nucleotide long non-coding RNA. RefSeq lists it as uncharacterized. The record is from RefSeq and is a predicted model, not a curated record. Lineage: Eukaryota; Viridiplantae; Streptophyta; Magnoliopsida; Fabales; Fabaceae. The transcript has 2 exons.
GGUAUAGUAUUGGUGGCCUCACAAGUUGGAAAAGAAAAUCAUUUAAGAAGUCUCUUUCUUGACCUCUCUCACACGCCACACACUCUCACACAACACAACACAAAAGCCUGUUCCAUUUCCAAUCUCCAUAUUUGGUUUUGGUCAAGUAAAACCAAACCAAAACCUCUUACCCUAUAUACCUGCUUUGAUUCUGUGAAUCUGCAAAAACAGUAUUCUCAUGCCUACAUACACCUCAUAACCAUAUAUAAUCACCAAUCUAACAAGAUCUGAUUACGUGUAUUGCAUGUCUCUUUCUUGAGCUGAGUGAACAACACAUCAUAACUCAUCAAGAGACACAGUUACAGAUGAAGAGAGAGAAAGUGUGUUUUUCUCUGUGUGUCCAAAAAAACAAAAGGAUUUGGUUGGAAUUUGUGUCUGUCUUGCUUAUUUUCUUUACUUUUCACUAUACUUUUUUUUUAAAACAACUCAUUUCUGAACAUAUAUAUACUGUUUUUCUCUCCUUCUUUUGGCUAUUAUGUGUUCAUAUAUGAUGCUUUAUUUUAUUCCAUUAACAGGUAUGUUUCUUUUCCUCAGAUCUGAUUCAGUUACGGUAUUUUUCACUUUAUUCUUGUUUUAAGUUUCCAUAUCUAGUGUGUUUUCUGUUGUAUUAUGUACUUGUUUUGGUAUAAUUAUCUUAAUAUGGUAGAUAGAAAUUGACAGAAGAGAGUGAGCACAAAGAAGCAUUUGGUAUAUAAUGUCUAUAUUAUUGCUUUUAUGUUCUCAUGCUCUUCUGUCACUUUCCAGUGCUGGAAAGGAAAUUUCUCUACUUCUUCUGUUAUUCACUUCUAAAUUAACCUAAACUAAACCAAACUAAAUCUACUAAAUAUCACUAACUAAAGAAGGUUAUUAUCUAGGUCGAAGUAGCCAUGAUUACUGUGCAGAUCUUAAAGAGAAGCUUGCAUUUUUUCCUUUAUAUUUUGUCCUUUCUCUUUUUCUUUGGUACAAUUUUCUGUCCUCUAUCUAUAUAUUAUCAUUAUUAUAUGUAGAGAUGAUAGGAUGGUCCUCGCACAAUUUGUGCUAACUAAUAUCUUUGUUUGAUAUGGUGCCUCAUGCUACCAAUGUUUUACUUGGCAUGUGCCUCUUGUUGGCUUUUCUAGUUAUUAUGAUUACCUUAAAUUGUGGCUUAACUAGUAAGAUUAUGAUUUUUUUAUUGGGUAUCAUGACAUGAUUUGUGGAUAACCCUAAAUUAAUCCUUGUACACUUAUAUUAAUCUAUUUUUUUUCUUACUUGUUAAUAUAUCACGUUUGUUUGUUUGUUUGUCUUUAGUCAUUUUAAGAGCUUUCUUUAAACAAUGUUAUCUCAAUUCUUUGUAUUUUUGAGAGCAUGAGUUAGUCGAUAAUUUCUUCCACGUUCUGCAAGAAUUAAUCUUCUCGCGGUAGAAGAAUGGUAAAGUUGAAGUUUACUUAGUUAAUUUGGCCUACAAUUCUCUUCUUGAGGUUAAGCUUGGUCCCUUUCUACCUUUGAGUAGAGUGGAUUGGAUUUUGGCUCACAUCUAGGUUAGUUGGACUCUAUCGUUUGUUUGUUUUUUUACAACUUUUUCUCGAUAAUUUCCCUUGGAGAGAAAAUUUGUGAAAGCGUGGGUCCUCUUGGACUAGGCUAGAGUGUCUUGUUAUUUUUGUUGGGAAUAUGUUUGAGAUUGCUUCUCUUGUUUUGUCACUUGUGAGCUAGUAUCUCUUUUUGUGGUAUAUGAUAGUUAUGUGUCUAAGAUGGUCUAAGGAUAUAUUGUCUCUUUUUGAGGUAUUCUUUAGCUUAGUAGGAUGGUCUAAGAUUAGAGGGGGUUUAGUGAUGGUAUGACAUUACGUGGUGAUUUGGAUUAUCUUAAAGUCUAGAAAUGAUUUAGUCUCUUUUAAUAUUUUAGUUAAUGUGAGGACUUGGCAAACACAAGCAUAGUUUUAGUCUAGAAAUAGGUUAUUGAGAAGUCUAUGAACUAUUCUUGACCUUUGUCUAAUGGAUUGUAGAACCAUAUCCUCUAUCCGACUCAAUAGUGCUCUCCGGCGUCUUUGACCUUGCUUGAAUUUGAGUUCCUUUCCCAUUUCUUUGAGAGGAUUAUUUUCUUAUUGAUGCUGAUCUUUAAUCAAGGACUCUAGCUGAUGUAUUCUCCGUGGUAGAGACUUAUUCUUUGGGGGCUUUUCCUUUCUUUUAGGUGGUUAUUUCGAUCGGAGGUGUUGCUCUCGCAUUGAUAGAGGUGGCUUGAUGUUGUCUCGGGGUGAGAAAAGAAGGAUGGUGUAGUGAAAAAGUUGUAGAGCUGCAGUCACAAGUUUCAUUCUACAGUUUGAGCUAGAGAAAAUUGAUGGAAGAAUUGUUUUUUACCUGUUAAAAAUUCAAGUCAAAAAUAUGUUGAUACAAUCAAGAUUGCACAAGGUGUUGGUUAGUGGUUAGUAGAUAAACAUUGAUUGACAUUGGUACAAGGUGUACUAUAAUAUUAUGUCGAUGGGUGAAGAAUUUUUUGUCAUCAUGGAAGUUGCACCAUAAUUUACCAACUUGAUUUUCGACAUUUGAAAUUCUUUAAGUGGUUUAACUCCAAGUGAAAUAUAUUAUUUUUGGUAGAGUAUUAUAGUUUU